AUUUAAGAUUGGUUUGUCAAAACCGCCGUUCACCUCUUCUACAAAACUGAGCUCAUCAUAUCUUGGGUUCAAUAGAGGGAAUGGUUUUGGCGUCUGAGUAUGUCUGAAGGCCAGGAUGAAGAGGAAGAUGAUGCUGAAAGACUCGAGAAUUCUAAAUUUAACAUCGAAUUAGUGAUUCACCAGACGGGUAUAUACAUAGAUCUAAAGUAACACUUUCUGUUUUAUAUAAUUAUUUGAUUUCAAUUCUCUAACGAUUAUAUUUGAGUUUGUUUUGUAGAACUCUUUCGAAUAGAGGGCCUGGACGACGAGCUCACUCUAGGAAGAAAGAGUAUUUAAAAAAAACUCAAGAGAUGCCACGGCUGCUCAGGUAAUCUCUUCAUAUUUACAAAAUAUAUUUUCUUUCUGAUUUCUUUGGGAUGAGUGGAACAAGCAGUGUGUUUUGACUAUCUAAAUUUACCAAAUUUUUGAUCGCCUUGCUAAAAAAAACUGUUGGUUUUGACGAUCCUAUGUUGGUUGGACUAUAUGGUUCAAAAUUUAUCAGAUUAGGGUUUGGAUUCAUGAUUUACCAGCGAUAUUUGUAGAUCUACAUCAAUUAGGGUUUGAUCUUCAUGAAUAUAAUAUGUUCCUCUACGGUUUCCUUGUCGCGGUUAUAGGUCAUAUAUAUAGUUCUGACAAUUUUCUCACUGAGUUAUUCUGUGCAAAAUCAUUCACAUAUAAUGUAUAUACGUCUUGGUGGCCUGUCUUAAUUCUCCCAAUAUAGAUUAACUCGACUUAAUGUCAGAACUGUUGUGUCACUAGACCUAUAUAUAUAGUGACUUGGUGCAUUGGUAAAUGUCUGGGUAGCUUGAUGGAACACAAGCGGGGAGUUCCUCCUACAUGAAUUCCUUAUUUGGAGAUGAAAUUUCUAACUUGCGUGUUUUUCAGAUCUACGGAGGGAAACUGAGAAGAUUCGUUCAUCACCAUUUUGAUCAGCAGCGUGGCUUCCUCAUCUCCCCUUCCCAAGAUAUUUCGGGAUCAAGUCGGACUCCAGCUAUUGGCUCGAAUUAUCUUUUGAGGUUUCAGUCAGUCUCAGUCUCAUUGUCAAGGCAGCUUUUGCACAUGUCCGUAUGAGAGCAUGCAUUUUUAGCGCUCGUCAACUUUGUCCAUAUCCUGCAAAGCUGUCAACAACAAGAAAUAGAAAAGUCAGGCAAAGUAUCAAGCAUGAGGAUUCUCGUAAGUUUAUCAAACUUUAUAACUGCUAAAGGUACUCAGACGAAGGAAGAGCAACAUUGUGUUCAUCAUUAGAGGGGAAGAAACUACCUUUUCAAAGGGAAGAAAGGAUUUCUCUUCAGCUCCACUGGUUGUUUGUUCCCUCUUCUUGGUUCUUUGAAGGUUCAAAUCCUUUGGUAUUUACUAUCAUGUUCGGGGCUGAAUCACGUCCUGUUUCUUUUCUUUUUCCAACCGAAUCAGUGAUUUACCAGGCAUAUAUCCAAUUCAAGUUAUUUGCAUUGGCUUCUUGUACAGUUUAAUCAUUGAUCAACGACUUUGCAAACAGGAUGCUUAAUUGUGUGAAUAACACUUAAUUAUACAGAUUAACUUUAUCUUGUACAGAUCUGUAGUUUGUAAUAUGAUAGAGAUACAUCAAUGAAGUCAGAU
This 1635-nucleotide long non-coding RNA is filed under the name Prunus dulcis (almond). RNAcentral's name for it is "sRNA ncRNA". The record is from RNAcentral. Lineage: Eukaryota; Viridiplantae; Streptophyta; Magnoliopsida; Rosales; Rosaceae.